RNAcentral lists this ribosomal RNA (293 nucleotides) under uncultured bacterium. RNAcentral describes it as "partial 16S ribosomal RNA". It matches the Rfam family "Archaeal small subunit ribosomal RNA", at positions 455 to 747 of the family's 1478-position model. The record is from RNAcentral.
GUGCCAGCCGCCGCGGUACUACCGGCAGCCCGAGUGAUGGCCGAUCUUAUUGGGCCUAAAGCGUCCGUAGCUGGCUACGCAAGUCCAUCGGGAAAUCCACUCGCUCAACGAGUGGCCGUCCGGUGGAAACUCCACACCUUGGGACCGGAAGGCUCGAAGGGUACGGCCGGGGUAGGAGUGAAAUCCUGUAAUCCCGCCCGGGCCACCGAUGGCGAAAGCACUUCGAGAAAACGGAUCCGACAGUGAGGGACGAAAGCUAAGAUCGCGAACCGGAUUAGAUACCCGAGUAGUCC